UUCUCUAUAUUAAAUCUUCACUUGGCUAAAAUAAAGAACAGCAAAUUAUAAGCAAGCUUUGCUUUGGUUUCUAAUAAAGGAUUUCCAUUCAAAAUCAUCACUACUUUUAUUAAGAUGAAAUUAGGGAGACAAAAACAAAGAAUAAAAUAAGCAAAUAACAUUACUCUAUAGCUCAUAUGCUGGUCAUUAAUCUUUAAUUAGGAUAAUAUAAUAUAUAAAUAUAUAUAAUAUCGUCAAGAGCAGCUGGAGAUUAUUCUUCUUCUUGUUGGUCUGCUUCGUUCAAACCCUAUGGUUCAGCAGCUGGUUUUGGCUUGUUGCCUGCUUGUGGCUUUCCGUUUCUUCGGUCUUCCUCGCGCCAUGAGCAGCACGUAAGUGACAGAAGAAAAACCAGAAAUAUGAGUACGAGAAUCUUCCCGAUGGCAGACCAAGGAUGAGCAGCUAUGUCUGUGAUCAAAUGACCCAUAAAAGCCAUGCUUGCUAGAAAGAAUAACCUUCAAACUCAAAGGCCAAACGUUGAGGAAUUCUCCAAAGGAUGGAACGCCCAAGCUGGUACUAGUAGCUGCUUCCU
RNAcentral lists this long non-coding RNA (568 nucleotides) under Theobroma cacao (cacao). RNAcentral's name for it is "long non-coding RNA (TCAC_LNC003537)". The record is from RNAcentral. Lineage: Eukaryota; Viridiplantae; Streptophyta; Magnoliopsida; Malvales; Malvaceae.